CAGUCGCCGCGGGAAUACGUAGGGUGCGAGCGUUAAUCGGAAUUACUGGGCGUAAAGCGUGCGCAGGCGGUUUUGUAAGACAGGCGUGAAAUCCCCGGGCUCAACCUGGGAAUGGCGCUUGUGACUGCAAAGCUAGAGUGCGGCAGAGGGGGAUGGAAUUCCGCGUGUAGCAGUGAAAUGCGUAGAUAUGCGGAGGAACACCGAUGGCGAAGGCAAUCCCCUGGGUCUGUAACUGACGCUGAGGAGCGAAAGCGUGGGGAGCGAACAGGAUUAGAUACCCGAGUAGUCCCUGUCUCUUAUA
Molecule: ribosomal RNA, 301 nt
Filed under: uncultured bacterium
Lineage: Bacteria
Description: partial 16S ribosomal RNA
Rfam family: Bacterial small subunit ribosomal RNA
Source: RNAcentral